UGCUUAACACAUGCAAGUCGAGCGGUAAGGCCUUUCGGGGUACACGAGCGGCGAACGGGUGAGUAACACGUGGGUGAUCUGCCCUGCACUUCGGGAUAAGCCUGGGAAACUGGGUCUAAUACCGGAUAUGACCUCCUAUCGCAUGGUGGGUGGUGGAAAGAUUUAUCGGUGCAGGAUGGGCCCGCGGCCUAUCAGCUUGUUGGUGGGGUAAUGGCCUACCAAGGCGACGACGGGUAGCCGACCUGAGAGGGUGACCGGCCACACUGGGACUGAGACACGGCCCAGACUCCUACGGGAGGCAGCAGUGGGGAAUAUUGCACAAUGGGCGAAAGCCUGAUGCAGCGACGCCGCGUGAGGGAUGACGGCCUUCGGGUUGUAAACCUCUUUCAGCAGGGACGAAGCGCAAGUGAC
This 411-nucleotide ribosomal RNA is filed under the name actinobacterium BAL195. RNAcentral describes it as "bacterial SSU rRNA". It matches the Rfam family "Bacterial small subunit ribosomal RNA", at positions 45 to 460 of the family's 1533-position model. The record is from RNAcentral. Lineage: Bacteria; Bacillati; Actinomycetota; Actinomycetes.